Molecule: long non-coding RNA, 85 nt
Organism: Aricia agestis (brown argus)
Lineage: Eukaryota; Metazoa; Arthropoda; Insecta; Lepidoptera; Lycaenidae
Exons: 3
Source: RefSeq, a predicted model, not a curated record
AAAGGGGGCGAUAAAACAUAAUUUGCUCUCAAAGUAGGCAGUAGACCAAAUAAGUUUGGGAACCCCUGGCGAAGAAAAGUGCGCU